GACUGUGGCUCUGGGAAGACAUUUUACUCAUUUGAUUUCUUUUUUCUUGUAGUCUUCUUGUCCAGUUCUCAGGUGUUUACCACCUAUUAGAAUUUCACCUGUAUGGGUCCUGUGUUUGAGACAGUCCCAGGACUUGUCAGCUGUAUAGGCCUCAUAAAAGACAGCUCUGUUCAGGGUUUGAAAGGAUCUGCAGGAUCCCCCCUGUGAGAGGCAACUCAGCAGCUCGGUGCCCUCUGCCAUUUCAGCACUGCCACUGGAGAAGCCCAGGAGGAGCAGAGCAGUAGCUGAGCAGCAAUUUGAAUAUUCAUAUUUAACUCUUCAAACAACAGAAGAUACUUCAAAACCAUGUUAAGAAGGAUAAGCUUGGAGUGCCCAGUCACCGUGGUAACUGCCAGAAAAAUUCUCCUGAAGUUUGAAGAGGUCAGCUAACAGGGUCAACAACUCUGGCCUCUCUCUGAGCUGGGCCUGGCAGGCUCCAUCCUGCGGUUGGGGUGUUAGCGCAGGCUGAGCCCUGGGAGGUGGACCAUUCCAGCUCUGAUAUAAAUUUUUUGAGUCAGUUCACGGCCUGGACUCUCCAGGUGGCCUCCAAAAUCGAUUGUGACCUUGUGACCCUGUCUAACGGAGGCAUAGCAUCCAACCUAAGUAAGGAUUUAGCCAGGAACGACAGCUUUCCACUGAGUGUUAUUGGGGACAGUACAAACAGUUUUGGAAGCAAGGAGGUAGGUAUGAAGAGUAGAGGUCAUUAAAAGCAUAUUAAAAAACUAUUUCAAAAAUCCUUGUUAGUGGAAAGUUUUUAUUAGCAGUAACUGUUCCUUAAAUAAACUCCUCUGGCAACUUUUUUU
This is a long non-coding RNA of Athene cunicularia (burrowing owl), 842 nucleotides long. RefSeq lists it as uncharacterized. The transcript is spliced from 3 exons. NCBI's taxonomy places the organism in Eukaryota, Metazoa, Chordata, Aves, Strigiformes, Strigidae. The record is from RefSeq and is a predicted model, not a curated record.